RNAcentral lists this transfer RNA (73 nucleotides) under Cavia porcellus (domestic guinea pig). It matches the Rfam family "tRNA". Rfam says of the family: Transfer RNA (tRNA) molecules are approximately 80 nucleotides in length. Their secondary structure includes four short double-helical elements and three loops (D, anti-codon, and T loops). Further hydrogen bonds mediate the characteristic L-shaped molecular structure. tRNAs have two regions of fundamental functional importance: the anti-codon, which is responsible for specific mRNA codon recognition, and the 3' end, to which the tRNAs corresponding amino acid is attached (by aminoacyl-tRNA synthetases). tRNAs cope with the degeneracy of the genetic code in two manners: having more than one tRNA (with a specific anti-codon) for a particular amino acid; and 'wobble' base-pairing, i.e. permitting non-standard base-pairing at the 3rd anti-codon position. The record is from Rfam by way of RNAcentral. Lineage: Eukaryota; Metazoa; Chordata; Mammalia; Rodentia; Caviidae.
GGAGGUUUAGCUCAGUGGCAUAAGCACCUGCCUUGCAAGCAGGCGGUCAUGAGUUCGAUCCCCGGUACCGUUU